Molecule: ribosomal RNA, 162 nt
Filed under: Meconopsis concinna
Lineage: Eukaryota; Viridiplantae; Streptophyta; Magnoliopsida; Ranunculales; Papaveraceae
Description: 5.8S ribosomal RNA
Rfam family: 5.8S ribosomal RNA
About the family: 5.8S ribosomal RNA (5.8S rRNA) is a component of the large subunit of the eukaryotic ribosome. It is transcribed by RNA polymerase I as part of the 45S precursor that also contains 18S and 28S rRNA.
Source: RNAcentral
AACGACUCUCGGCAACGGAUAUCUCGGCUCUCGCAUCGAUGAAGAACGUAGCGAAAUGCGAUACUUGGUGUGAAUUGCAGAAUCCCGUGAACCAUCGAGUUUUUGAACGCAAGUUGCGCCCUAAGCCUUUUGGYCGAGGGCACGCUUGCCUGGGCGUCACGC